GAUGAACGCUGGCGGCGUGCCUAAUACAUGCAAGUCGAGCGAACGGACGAGAAGCUUGCUUCUCUGAUGUUAGCGGCGGACGGGUGAGUAACACGUGGAUAACCUACCUAUAAGACUGGGAUAACUUCGGGAAACCGGAGCUAAUACCGGAUAAUAUUUUGAACCGCAUGGUUCAAAAGUGAAAGACGGUCUUGCUGUCACUUAUAGAUGGAUCCGCGCUGCAUUAGCUAGUUGGUAAGGUAACGGCUUACCAAGGCAACGAUGCAUAGCCGACCUGAGAGGGUGAUCGGCCACACGGGAAGUGAGAAACGGUCCAGACUCCUACGGGAGGCAGCAGUAGGGAAUCUUCCGCAAUGGGCGAAAGCCUGACGGAGCAACGCCGCGUGAGUGAUGAAGGUCUUCGGAUCGUAAAACUCUGUUAUUAGGGAAGAACAUAUGUGUAAGUAACUGUGCACAUCUUGACGGUACCUAAUCAGAAAGCCACGGCUAACUACGUG
Molecule: ribosomal RNA, 497 nt
Filed under: uncultured bacterium
Lineage: Bacteria
Description: partial 16S ribosomal RNA
Rfam family: Bacterial small subunit ribosomal RNA
Source: RNAcentral